CGCAGCCACGGUAAUACGAAGGGUGCAAGCGUUAAUCGGAAUUACUGGGCGUAAAGCGUGCGUAGGCGGUUUGUUAAGUCUGUUGUGAAAUCCCCGGGCUCAACCUGGGAAUGGCAAUGGAUACUGGCAAGCUAGAGUGUGUCAGAGGAUGGUGGAAUUCCCGGUGUAGCGGUGAAAUGCGUAGAGAUCGGGAGGAACAUCAGUGGCGAAGGCGGCCAUCUGGGACAACACUGACGCUGAGGCACGAAAGCGUGGGGAGCAAACAGGAUUAGAUACCCCUGUAGUCCCUGUCUCUUAUACA
RNAcentral lists this ribosomal RNA (301 nucleotides) under uncultured bacterium. Its description in RNAcentral is "partial 16S ribosomal RNA". It matches the Rfam family "Bacterial small subunit ribosomal RNA", at positions 510 to 808 of the family's 1533-position model. The record is from RNAcentral.